UACAGAGGUCUCAAGCGUUGUUCGGAUUCAUUGGGCGUAAAGGGUGUGUAGGUGGCGCCGUAAGUCGGGUGUGAAAUUUCGGAGCUUAACUCCGAAACUGCAUUCGAUACUGCGGUGCUUGAGGACUGGAGAGGAGACUGGAAUUCAUGGUGUAGCAGUGAAAUGCGUAGAGAUGUGGAGGAACACCAAUGGCGAAGGCAGCCUUCUGGGCCAACACUGACGCUCAUGCACGAAAGCGUGGGGAGCAAACAGG
Molecule: ribosomal RNA, 253 nt
Filed under: uncultured bacterium
Lineage: Bacteria
Description: partial 16S ribosomal RNA
Rfam family: Bacterial small subunit ribosomal RNA
Source: RNAcentral